GAUGAACGCUGGCGGCGUGCCUAACACAUGCAAGUCGAACGAAGCUUGACGGAUGGUUUCUUCGGAAUGAAACCAGAUAUGACUUAGUGGCGGACGGGUGAGUAACACGUGAGCAACCUGCCUUUCAGAGGGGGAUAACGGCUGGAAACGGUCGCUAAUACCGCAUGAUGUGUUCGGAUGGCAUCAUCUGAACAUCAAAGAUUUAUCGCUGAAAGAUGGGCUCGCGUCUGAUUAGAUAGUUGGUGGGGUAACGGCCUACCAAGUCUACGAUCAGUAGCCGGACUGAGAGGUUGAACGGCCACAUUGGGACUGAGAUACGGCCCAGACUCCUACGGGAGGCAGCAGUGGGGAAUAUUGCACAAUGGGGGAAACCCUGAUGCAGCAACGCCGCGUGAAGGAUGACGGUUUUCGGAUUGUAAACUUCUUUUCUUAGUGACGAAGACAGUGACGGUAGCUAAGGAAUAAGCAUCGGCUAACUACGUG
RNAcentral lists this ribosomal RNA (483 nucleotides) under uncultured bacterium. RNAcentral's name for it is "partial 16S ribosomal RNA". It matches the Rfam family "Bacterial small subunit ribosomal RNA", at positions 28 to 507 of the family's 1533-position model. The record is from RNAcentral.